AGCUCCAAUAGCGUAUAUUAAAGUUGUUGCAGUUAAAAAGCUCGUAGUUGGAUUUCUGGCAGGAGCGACCGGUCACACACUCUGUGUGUGAACUUGUGUUGUCUCUGGCCAUCCUUGGGGAGAUCCUGUUUGGCAUUAAGUUGUCGGGCAGGGGACAUCCAUCGUUUACUGUGAAAAAAUUAGAGUGUUUAAAGCAGGCUUAUGCCGUUGAAUAUAUUAGCAUGGAAUAAUAAGAUAGGACUUCGGAACUAUUUUGUUGGUUUGCGUUACGAAGUAAUGAUUAAUAGGGACAGUUGGGGGUAUUCGUAUUUCGUUGUCAGAGGUGAAAUUCUUGGAUUUCCGAAAGACGAACUACUGCGAAAGCAUUUACCAAGGAUGUUUUCAUUA
RNAcentral lists this ribosomal RNA (387 nucleotides) under Thalassiosira sp. RNAcentral's name for it is "partial small subunit ribosomal RNA". It matches the Rfam family "Eukaryotic small subunit ribosomal RNA", at positions 587 to 975 of the family's 1831-position model. RNAcentral also lists the same sequence under 1 other name. Lineage: Eukaryota; Bacillariophyta; Thalassiosirophyceae; Thalassiosirales; Thalassiosiraceae. The record is from RNAcentral.